Dermochelys coriacea (leatherback sea turtle) is the source of this 273-nucleotide long non-coding RNA. RefSeq lists it as uncharacterized. The transcript has 2 exons. The record is from RefSeq and is a predicted model, not a curated record. NCBI's taxonomy places the organism in Eukaryota, Metazoa, Chordata, Testudines, Dermochelyidae.
CAUUAUGGCCUUUAAAGCAUGAUUAAAUGAUACAGCUUCAGAGCAUCUGUCUGAAGGAAAAAACCAAGAAGCUGGCUUCAUCAGUGAACAAUUUUCAGCAAAUGUACUGUACUCGUUGAGAGCCCAACAACCAUUCUGGGGAAACGCACCAGGAGUCGAAGCAUGAGUGCAAAGGGCUGCAACUCUUUAUGUUCAGCCUCCUGAUUAUUCAGAUUUUGUGCAUAUCUUAUGCAGAAAGUGGAAUGAUUGCAAAAUAAAGUAUUCAGCCAUGAC